UCCGGCUUGUCGCCGGCGGUCCCUUUAGAGUGCCCAACUGAAUGAUGGCAACUAAAGGCGAGGGUUGCGCUCGUUGCGGGACUUAACCCAACAUCUCACGACACGAGCUGACGACAGCCAUGCAGCACCUGUGUCCAGGUUCCCUUUCGGGCACACCCCCAUCUCUGGAGGCUUCCUGGCAUGUCAAGGGUAGGUAAGGUUUUUCGCGUUGCAUCGAAUUAAUCCACAUACUCCACCGCUUGUGCAGGCCCCCGUCAAUUUCUUUGAGUUUUAAUCUUGCGACCGUACUCCCCAGGCGGGGUGCUUAAUGCGUUAGCUUCGGCACGGACGGAGUCGACACCGCCCACACCUAGCACCCAUCGUUUACGGCGUGGACUAC
This 379-nucleotide unclassified non-coding RNA is filed under the name uncultured bacterium. RNAcentral's name for it is "contains 16S-23S intergenic spacer region". The record is from RNAcentral.